RNAcentral lists this ribosomal RNA (434 nucleotides) under uncultured Clostridium sp. RNAcentral describes it as "partial 16S ribosomal RNA". It matches the Rfam family "Bacterial small subunit ribosomal RNA", at positions 341 to 792 of the family's 1533-position model. The record is from RNAcentral. Lineage: Bacteria; Bacillati; Bacillota; Clostridia; Eubacteriales; Clostridiaceae.
ACGGGAGGCAGCAGUGGGGAAUAUUGCACAAUGGGGGAAACCCUGAUGCAGCGACGCCGCGUGAGCGAAGAAGUAUUUCGGUAUGUAAAGCUCUAUCAGCAGGGAAGAAAAUGACGGUACCUGACUAAGAAGCCCCGGCUAACUACGUGCCAGCAGCCGCGGUAAUACGUAGGGGGCAAGCGUUAUCCGGAUUUACUGGGUGUAAAGGGAGCGUAGACGGCAAGGUAAGUCUGAAGUGAAAUCCCGGGGCUCAACCCCGGAACUGCAUUUGAAACUGUAGCCCUUGAGUAUCGGAGAGGCAAGCGGAAUUCCUAGUGUAGCGGUGAAAUGCGUAGAUAUUAGGAGGAACACCAGUGGCGAAGGCGGCUUGCUGGACGACAACUGACGCUGAGGCGCGAAAGCGUGGGGAGCAAACAGGAUUAGAUACCCUGGUA